This 131-nucleotide non-coding RNA is filed under the name Alkalihalophilus pseudofirmus. RNAcentral describes it as "Bacillus pseudofirmus SAM-I sequence". It matches the Rfam family "SAM riboswitch aptamer (S box leader)". Rfam says of the family: The SAM riboswitch is found upstream of a number of genes which code for proteins involved in methionine or cysteine biosynthesis in Gram-positive bacteria. The SAM riboswitch acts at the level of transcription termination control. Lineage: Bacteria; Bacillati; Bacillota; Bacilli; Caryophanales; Bacillaceae. The record is from RNAcentral. RNAcentral also lists the same sequence under 1 other name.
CUCUUAUUACGAGUAGGCUGAGGGAAUUGGCCCUAUGACGCCCAGCAACCGACCUUUCUUUUAUAAUUGAUGAUUUAAACUAAUCAAUGGCACGGUGCUACAUCCAACAGACUUUGUCUGAGAGAUAAGAG